Long non-coding RNA from Anopheles gambiae (African malaria mosquito), 967 nucleotides. RefSeq lists it as uncharacterized. The transcript is spliced from 2 exons. NCBI's taxonomy places the organism in Eukaryota, Metazoa, Arthropoda, Insecta, Diptera, Culicidae. The record is from RefSeq and is a predicted model, not a curated record.
UCUAAUUUUAGCUUUUAGGCUAAAAUUUUCUAGACUGAAAAUCGCAGGCUAGUUUUUUGUGUGGUUUUGUAUGGAGUUUUGGCUACCUCGUGGGUAGACCACUUUUUAUUUGGAUUCCCAAGAUGUCACAAAAUACAAUGUUUUACAAUGUCUUUAUCACGCGUUACGCAGUUACGGGAGCACGUCCACUAGCGGAUGAGAACGAAAAGACAAGAGAACGCGUGGUGGGAACGACGGCUUUUUAUAAUCUUUUUAACGGGAAAUAGUUUAGUCUGGCUAACUUUCUAUAUCUCUUCUCUCAUCUAUUUCCAGCUUUCUUCUAUCUCUUUCUCCUUCUUCUUGUUUCCUCUAUCAAAAUUUCGUUUCAGGAGAACUGCCUUACGGGCUUGGAGUGGUGACCAACGAUGCAGACACCCCAUUGCCCACCCGAAGCGUGGGCGAUAGGACCAAAGGGACCGCGUCGCACCACGGAAAGCAGCGUAAUAAGCAGAAUCAGCAGACCAGAUCGCCGCAGAAGAUGCGUCGUGACCCAGGGUGCAACCGCACACACGACUCCGCAUGAAGUAAUACGCACCACAAGCGUACCGGCCGAGUUGGGUGAGUCGGAGAGGGGGAUGGAAUAUGCUCACUCUUCGUUAACAAAAAAAAAAAAAAAAAAAAAAAAAGGUGCUCGAAUAAGGUUCAUAUUCAUAUUCAUUAGGGUGCUCGAAUUAGGGUGCUUGAAUUAGGGUGAUCGAAUUAGAGUGCCCGAUAUUUUGAAUUGACGGUUGACGUCAGCUCCGGACUGUGGUGAGGCUAUAACGUGGUCGCCACAGAGUGUUUACAUGAUUUCAGCCUCCAACUGUCAAACUCCAUACAAGAAAACUAACUAGAAUCGUGAAGGCCCCCAAUAUUAGAUUUUUCGCACAAAUCAUAUGAAAUAAAUGAUAAAGUGUAUAAAAGUGCUAAAUAAAAUCAAAAACUUUGA